UUUCUACAUCCCGUCCCCCUGAAGAGGAUUUCCUCUGUCCAAUGGCUCACUCUAAAUCUCUGCACCUUCCGAGUCAAAAGAGAGAGAGAAAAAAAUGCAUGUUGAGGUAACGAGCUUCUUAAAGAGUGAGGAAAGCACCACUUCAACUGGGAACUAAAAAAUGAGAUUGCCGGAGAAAAUAGGAUAUCAGCGCUAAGCAUAAUGUGACAAAAAAGAAGAGGAGGAAAUGGGGUGAGAGAGGGAGAAGUUGUGCAUUCAGCUAACCCCCGCCUCAGCCCGCCUCUCUCCACCCCCUGGAAAAGUCUCUCCCUCUCUCUCUCUACCUCUUUUCUCUCCGUCUCUCUGCAGCUGUGCUCUGCUGAGCGUCACCCCCACACAGCAAGUGCCUUUACUUCAGCCGAAGAGGGAGAAAGAAGAGGAAGGUGGCUGCGAGCUCCAGAGCAAAAGAAACCUCAGGAGUGCGUCUGCACGCGGCAGAGGAGUGCUUCUCUCUACACUUCAUACAGAGGGGCUAAGAAGCGCACAGAGACCGGAAAGUGGCGGCUGCGUUGGAGUAACGCUGUGCCGGUGGUGCCGACUGGGGACAGGGGAAUCCACUGACACUGUUGAUCCUGGUGGCUGUGGCAAAAAGCUUCCAGAAGGAGACAGAGAAGUGGAAAAGCAGACAGGAGCUCGCCAAGGGGGCAGCAUUUUACUUCGGAAAACGAAGCGUGGCGACAGCAGAAACGCACAAAGAGAGAUACUCUCACAAACACUAGAGUGGAAAAAGGACAGCGAGACACUCACUGCAUUUAAAAAUCUAUUACAACCCUUCAGUUUCUUCUGACUUAACCAAGAAAUGUCUGGUGUUGUUGCCCGUGGAUGAUGGAUAUUAACUUCUGGAGAGAAAUUUGUCUUCUAAAAUAAGAUUUUUUUUUCUAAACUUUACUACUUUUUAUUUUUUGGAGUUGGGCCUGUAAACCGUCUGAGCACAUCACAGAUUUCUUCUUAGUUACAGGAAUGGAGAGUUGUCUUGGGGACCGUUGAGAUGCCUCCUCCUGAUUCAGAGUAGAAAGUGGAUUAUGACGGCAGUAUUUUGCGAUUUCUUCUUUGCACCAUAAAGAAAAAAAAUCCAUCUACGUCUGCUGGAUUUAUGUCUGAGAGAAGGAGAAGAUCUCAGGCAUUUUCUCUUCUCCUGUGGAUUACCUAUGCGUUUUCUCUCAUGGAUGAUUGCUUGCUGCCAGUUAUUAAGAAAAAGUAUGAAAAGGGACAAGUGAGUAUUGGGCUAGAUUUUCUUCCCUCUAAAUCUUAAGCUCGAGUCCAAAUAAUGGAUGGCUCUAGUGAAAGCACAAUGAUGCAGCUUUUGUCUAAGCUAAUAACACAAAUUGAAACCCACUGAUUGAACAGUUAUGUUUAACAAAUGAUGAUUAAGGUGUAAAAGGUAUGCACAUCUUGACAUCUAUUAAUUCAUGUGACAAGUUGUCCUGGAUGUUUACACACCAUUUGCCAAUGAGCAUCAUUUACUAAAUGAGGGGUGCUGUCUACCCGGCAGGUGGCUUGGGCACCAACAGAGAUUGAUUGAAGUGAUCUCUGGGAAUCCAAUUAAUGUAUCCUGGAUUCUUUCCAAGACAGAAGCAAUGGAGGGGAAAACCACCAUCUAGUUUAAACUGAGAAACCUCUACACUCCCCAGUCAGCAACUCUCCUCCUCCUCCUUUCCCACCACCUUCAACCCAGGCAAGGAUGGUACCCCCACCCCCCACCAACAAGCCCCACGUUUGCCUUUCCACCAUUCUUAUCAUGAGCAGCAUGGCACUAAUUGAUGCCUACCUGGUGGAGCAGAACCACGGACCCCGCAAGAUUGGCAUCUGCAUCAUGGUGAUGGUGGGGGACAUCUGUUUUUUGAUCGUGCUCCGAUACGUGGCAGUGUGGGUGGGCGCUGAGGUGCGGACUGCCAAACGAGGCUAUGCCAUGAUCCUCUGGUUCCUCUAUAUCUUUGUGCUCGAGAUCAAAGUCUACUUUGUGUAUCAGAACUACAAAGCAGACAGGAAGAGCUUGGACGCUCUCGCGAGGAAAGCCUUGACGUUGCUGCUGUCCAUUUGCAUUCCAGUGCUGUUCAUUGUGCUGGUGGCCAUCGACCACAUGGAGUACGUCAAGGCUUUCAAGAAACGGGAGGAGAUUCGCAAUCGCCUCUUCUGGGUAGUGGUGGACUUGCUUGACAUACUGGACAUCCAAGCUAACCUGUGGGAGCCUCAGAAGAAAGGGCUUCCUCUGUGGGCAGAAGGCCUCAUGUUCUUCUACUGCUACAUCCUGCUCCUUGUGCUGCCCUGUGUGUCUUUGAGCGAAAUCAGCAUGCAGGGCAUAAACAUUGUCCCCCACAAGAUGCUACUGUACCCCAUCCUCAGCCUGGUGACCAUCAACAUCAUCACGCUCUUCAUCCGUGGAGGGAAUAUGUUUCUGUACAGGGACGCAAGAGUAUCUGGGAUCCUAAUCGGAAAGAACAUACUGGCCAUCAUCCUAAAGACCUGCAGCUUUGUGCAGUACAGAAGACAGUUGCAGAACGCUCCUCCUGCCUUUGGAGUGGAGCUGCAAAAAAACUCAGUUGCACAAGCUCGUCCUGCGCCCACUCCACCUCAAGUGGUCAUGCAGGACCAGACGCCUCUACCCGAAGUGACAACCUGUGAACACACAUGACAUAAUGUAGGGGGUGAACCCUACGAAAUGUCAAUAUGAGUAAAUGGGACUCUCAUGAUGCUGGCAGGGAGCAGUGUUCCACACCUUUUAGGUCGUGUGAACACUCAUGUGAACACACGGGAGAUUAUGAUCCCUGAUGCUUAAUGGCACACAGGACACUGCAGACACUUAGUGCAGACAGAGCAGUGCUGUCACAGCGGCAUUACCGAUGACUCAAAGCAUUUCCCAUGGUGAAUUUAAUUACCUGUGUAUUUUUUCUAUAUAUACAAAGAAAAAAAAUCUACAGCAAAAAAAUAGAGUAUAUUUUUGAAUUGUGUGUUGCAUUCCAAUCGAAAACCUAAGGGUCUGUGUGCUGUGGCGUGUAUUUCUGUUUCUCAGUUGUUUCUUAGUAGUCGAGGGCUUUACCUUGUCAAAGAGAGACGAGACCAAAUGAGAAAAUCAAAGUAAUGAGGGUAAAAAAACUGCGGUGAAAGCCCCGUCUCUUAAAAGAAGUGCGUUUUUAUAUGUGGCUCUUUGAUCAUAUACUGUGUAAAAGAUAAAGGCUUUCCUGCUUUCUCACUGGCUGUAAGAGGGUUUUGUCAUAAAAUAAUUUUAAAGUUAUUGGUCCGAUGAGUAUAUUUAUUUUUUUAAGAAAUAAUUUAGUAAAUGCCAACUUUGUGACGAGUGUUGGGAGAAAAUAAAUGAAUCAGUUCUAUCCAGGUGAGAAGCUUACAUCCAUCCAUGACAGACUUCAAUUUAAAUGAUAGGCUUUCAAUUAUACAUUUGAAUUUGUUCUUUUUCCAGUGUGAGAUGAUUGAACAAUUAACAAACGCAAAAAAAUAAAACUGGUUGCACAAAUUUAAGUUUAGCAUAAAUAUGUUCUAAUUUACAGAGUCUAUAUUAUACAUAAUAACUGACACUUGUCCCCUGCUAAUAUUUGGACAGAUUUCCAUUAGCAAACUGUAUACCAAACAGAGACAGGUUUUUGCCACCAACACACUUACGGAAAAACGUUUGACUCUGCUUUGGGAUUAAUUGAUAAUGUUAAUUUUAACUGGUUUGUUUCUCAGUGUGGAUAACUCUUACAAACAUGGUUAAGAGUGUUAAAAAAAAGGCUGAGGUCUGAGUUUUGUGAAGCACCUUUCAGAAACAAUCUUUUUAUGUGUGUAUGAUCCUAUUGGAAUGCACUGUCUGACCAAAGCAAGGACUGAAAUACCGAUGUAAUGCUACUUGACACACUGUUGGCUGGCAAUUGCAAACUAGCCAAUCCAGGAGUACCAUUAAGGAAGAGCCAAAUAAGGAAGACUGUAGAGAAUAACUUCUCAAUAGUGUUAAGAUGCAUAUUAAGGACUUUUGGUGUCUGAUCUAUUAAGAUAGGCAGCUAUAAGCAUUUUUUGAGAGGGCCUGAAGUAUUCGUGGGUUUUAAGUAUUCACAUGUGACUAUGCUCCUUAACCCCGAUACAGUGAACUACUGGUAUGUAUUAUUAUUUUUAAGAGUUUGUGCUUCUUUAUUCACACUUUGUGAAAAACAAGGUGCAUCAAGUUAGUCACAUUGACAUGCAACUUCCUGUUAGCAGUGUUAAUCUCCUUCAAAAUAAACCUUGUGCCAAAACAGCAUUUAUGACCAUAACUGUUAACACAGCGUGCAGAGAGUGAGGCUUUGCAUAUUCAGGUCACUUCUGUGCCACUUGUUGUUCAGACUGGCGUCUCAACAACAAAAAUCUGUCUCAUCAAAACAUUUUAAUUAAUCAACACCUAACCAAUUGAGAUGAAUUGAUUUGGUUGGAUAUCCAGACAAAUUAAAGCAAGACGUCUGUUGAUCAUUUCAAAAAGUCUGUGGUCAAGGUGCAACUUUCCAAUGGACAUUUAAACAUUAGCAGGGUAUAUGAAUAUAUUUGAGCCUGAAUGGUGAAGUUUAACAUAUGAAAAAAACAAAGCAGAUGUACAUUUACACUUUCAAAAGUAUGUUUUGUUUAAUUAUUUCACUCUGAAAAAGAAUUGCAAUGCGUAAAGUUUUCUUUCACAAAUAUAAAUUGUUUUUGAGUUUCAUCAUAUUUUGCAGGGUUAUUUCUGAUGAUGGAAACAUUUAGGUUCAACUCUGUAUGCUAUGAACUGUUUGAUCAAUGCAAAUAAUCACCAUAUUGCUAUUUCUUUGAGAUUAAAUGCAUUGCCAAGAAACAGCGCUGCAGGAGGGUAAAUGAAUCCUAAAUAAGAAAGCCUGUUUAAUAUCCACCUCAGGCAUACGACUAUCUGAGCUUGUGCUUAGUGGCAACAGCGGUUGUAAGCACUGUCAUUCUGUUCCUCACACAAAAGGACAAAAUAGAUACUUUGGUGCAGUGAUGUGAAUCCACAAAAACAGCCAAGCACACGUCUUGUCUUGAUAUGACAAAUCUUGCUCUUUCACAAGCUCUUUUCCCACCCACACCACCAGUUGAGUCAGAGCUGAAGUUUUUGACUGUUUGUUUGCCUUCUCUGAAUACAUUUCCCUCAGAGGGAAUUGUUAUUACUCUCCCGCAAAACUGCACACAAAAGAAGCAGAGUUCUGGUCAUCGACAGUUCUAUUUUCCCCGGAUGGUUCAGAUGAGGACUUGGAUUAAUUUCGCUCACCUGUGGCUGUGUGUGCGUAAUUUAAAGCACAGUGUUUGCUAAAACCCCGAGAGUGCAGGAGAUGAUCUAACAUUUCCAUCUGUGCAAGGCUCAGCUACGGGAAGGUGGCAACAUUAAGUGGCACAAAGCAGGAUUUCACAUUAAGACUGCUGUAGUCAGCACUACUUGUCGGUGUUGUUGGCUUGUAAAGAUACAACAUCAGCAAUUUAGACACUAUAAUGCACUAUUGGAUAAUAUCGUUUAUACAGAACUGUUGCAAUGAAAGGAAAAUAUCCUUCUUUUAAAAUAAUGGUAUAUUAAAACAAUGCGAUAUGUUCUGCUGAAUGUAUCAACUCUGCGCAUUUAAAAAGUGUAAGGACUUAAAAACGUAAUGUUUUUAGUGUUUUUACAAGUGACAGAAACACAAAUGUAACUGAAAUUAAUGUAAACAUGAAAUAGUUUUCCUGAAGUCCAUCUGUACAAAUUUCACAGAAAAAAAGAUUUAAGAUGAAGAGAUGCAUUUAAAAAACUAACUGCUAAAGCUCAACUUUAUGGAGCAGAAACUGAUGUGUUUAGUAGAUUAUUUCAUAUUCAUAACAUGAGGAAAUCUUGCACUAAUUAAGAAAAUUUAUUGCAUGGAGGUCCAAAGAGCAGCCCAGGAAUCAAUUACAAUUACAGCAUGUUUUACUCAUCUGCACAUGCAGUUGAUUCAGACAGACACAUAAAAACAAUGCUGGGGUGACAUUUUUAUUGACAGAUUCAAAUCUGCCUACGACUGAAAAUGUUAAAAUAUUUCUCUUUUAUUAACCAUAUUUUUCUGCUUCAAUCUCAAAGUAGAAUCAUAAAGAUCGUGUGGCAUUUACUCAAAAGCAAACUUGCCAGUUAUAAAAAUUGGGUAAAUACAUAAAGCUUUCUCAGUGACUCAUAUACUGUCCUUGUUGGCAGAAACAAAACUUGGAAACUACAUUUAUUUUACUGAAAGAUCUUUCCAGAUCUACAAUAACGUUUCUAACAAAAAUCACACAGCUUUGAUUGUUUAAUAAAAUAUUACACUAGUUUAUCAUGAUUGCUUUGAUAUUUGAUUUUUUUAAAUAUAAUCUAAUAUUUUUGUUGCCUGCGAGUCCUUUUUCCCCUCCUCCAUAUUUUUGUCUGGGCAUCUCUUUGAUAGAAAAACAUAUUUUACAUUUUAACUAAAGCUUGAAAGAGUUGCUCUUAUUAAACAGCCUGGAGGUGCAAUUUGGAGGGAUGCGCACUUUUCUCCAGCUGUGAGCCAUUUUCCAGAGGAAGCCCAGGAUAUACCCAUAGGUUCUCAUAUAGACACACAUUUGUUAGUGACAAAAUCUGUUCAUGUCAUUCUCUUGUUGAGAUUUUUGAAGUUGGAGAACUGCCAUUAUUAACGGUCCUGCUUAAAUCUACAUAAUGCCCUUAAGUACUGGGUUCAUCGUGCAUCUGCAAAUACUUCUACAAGCAGGAAUCAUCCAUGUUGUGGCAAACUUUAGAUGUCAUACUGAGGGCUUAGUCUGGUGUGAUGGUGACACAUAAGCCUCAUCAAUAGAUUAGCAGUAGAUGCAUAUAAAUCCUGAAAACAGAAAAACGAAUGCCCCUCUUGUAUUUAUAGGUAGCUUCAGAAAAGAUAGAGAUGCUUUGGAUAACUCACCGAGGAAUAAAAAGACUGAAUUUUGAUUGGUUCAGGGAAAAACGAGCGGAGAAAAGCAGGGUUGUCAAAACUGAUGAUUGAAUUGAGAACUGACAGAGCUGGAAAGUAGAACUGAAAGAAAUAGAGUUGCUGGAAUAACUCAGUUUGAUCAAACGGCAAAACAAACGAACUGAGAGUAAAAUAGUUCACAUUGACGUCGUUUAGAAAAGCACAAUAUAAAAAUGUAAGACUGCAAUGUUUGGAUCCUGCUGCAUGAAAAAUAGAUUUUUUGGGGAGGUUUUGGAAUUUUAUUCCCAAAAUAAGAUUUCCAUUUUUUCCAUCUAUCUAUUUGUGUAAUUUUGCUUGUGACAUGGGGUGGGAAUAGUACAAACUAGAUACAUUUUAAAAACUCAUAUUAGACUUGCACCGAUUUUAAUUUCCAGUUAGCUUUAAAUUUAUAGUCUAGCAAGACUGGUCAUACUUCUCAGUAAAUAAAUAUUUACUGAGAAUAUUUAACAUUCUCAGUAAAUUCUGCUGAGAAUAUUAACUUAACUGAGAAUAACUUCUGCUGAAUAUUUAAUAUUUAACACAUUUUUCCUCAAGUAAAAAGUAGCUUUCCAAGAAAUUACUGUAGAAUAAAAAAAAUCUAUUUAAUAAAAAGACUACUGAAGCACUGAGUAAGUGAUCAUAAAAUCUGAUUAAAUAUUUUAAAAUGACAACAGACAAAAUAUAAAGUUACCAAAAUAUAAAUUUAAACUAAGGGACACAGUAAACCUGUAGAGGGAGGAUCUCUUAUUAUACGAGAUCAAAACUUUGUAUUUUUUGCUUAAAUGUAAAAUGUAGUACUUAUGAAAUACAAUACUGAAUUUUACUCCAAAUACACUAAUGUAGCAGUAAAACAUGGUUGUGGGAGCAUCAUACUAUGGGUUUACUUUUUUUUAAUUAAAUUUUUUACAGGUCAUAGCUUAUAGAGUUUAAUACAGAGCAAGCCUGGAUGGAAAUCUGUGAGAGGCUGCCAAAGACAUGAGACUUUGAGGUUCAUCUUCAAUCGAGUAGUUUAGAUAAUGGCCUAGUUAAAGUUGUUCAAUUAAGAAUCUGAGGAAAAACUUGAAAAUUCCUGUCCCACAUGCCCCAUUAAAAGUGUUUCUACAAAGAGGGCAGAUUACAUAUCAGUUAAAAAGAAACAAAACUAUGCAUUGUUUCCUUUCACCCUUAUGUAAUGAUUUAUGUUGGUCUGUUGCAUUAUCUCAGUAAAAUGAAUGACAGUGAAUAAAAAUGAGAUAAAACAUGGGAAAGUUCAAAAUGAAAUGAAUAAUUUAGCAAGGCAUAGCUCAUCUUUGCCAGGUAACCUUUCCCUUAAUAUAGUAUUUUUUCCAUUAAAAUUCAUUUCAACAGGACAAAAAUAAAUGUUUCAAAUAACUUUAGUAGCUCAAACUUUUCUGUGCUUUCUUACAAUGACUUCCCAACAGGUUCUUGAGUCAUCUCUUCCCCUCUCAAAUGUAAUAAUUGGAAAGGCUGCCUAUCCACACCUACGAUAUAAACACUGACAAAGCUGCCUGGGACAAGACAGCAAGACAAACAGUGUCUGUAAAUUCACAGCUUGACCUUCGGCAGUCUUAAAUGGCAACAGAGUCGAGUAACAAAUGUAUUUUUCAGGGAAGGCAUGUUAGAAGGUGACGAGAACAAACCGGCAGAGAAAAUGAAUCCUCAUCAAGUAUUGAUUCUCCUGUCUGGAGGAAAACUGAUAAGAUUUGAAACAACCAUCUUCUGCAAAAGAAAAUACCAUAUUUUUUUGACGGAGCAGCAGGAGGUCUUUGAUGCUGCUGAGAUGUGUGUGCCUAAAGCUCAUCUCGAGUAUGGAGUAUCCUACAACCCAGCUUGAGUUGGGACUCUGCAUGUCACUUCACAAAGUUUUAGAUUCAUCAUCCUUAAACUGAGAUGCCCCUGUGCAGGAGUGAAGCAAAUAAAAAUGAUGUUUCUUGGCAUAGUUCAUCUAAUUCACUCUAAAUUUGUUUGCAUGCAUAGACUCCAAACACACAGCAGCUCCGAGCAACAUCCUUUUACAGUUUGCUGAAAAGAGGCAAUUAUCUGUUCUACAGUCAAAAUGCUUCUGCAAUUAAUCUUUAUCUUGGCGCUCUUAAUCACCAAAUUACAGCCUGGAUAAUUAUGAAACAGCUUCCCCACACAUCCAGCCAUGCAUGUUUUCAUUUCAUGCCCCUGCGACACGGGAGGUUUCGCUAUCGCGCAUAUGCACAGUUUGUGAGGAUUACCGACGGCUAUGAAGUAUGACCCUGACUGGAGAUCAAGCCUGAGACUCGCAGCUACAAUAUGAUCCUGCCUAUAAUCAGGUCAGCAGCUCUUAGUCGACACAACGGGAAACCAUGGACACCAGAAACGAGAGGCGCCUGCUCAGAGUGGUGUUAAGUGUUGUAUAAAAAUAUGAAUUAUGAAGAGUUGUGUAAAUAUUCAAGCAACCCAGCAGUUCAACGAGAUUUAUCAUUUAAAUCCAAGCAAUUCUGCAAGUUUUCUCUCAGGUCCUGUUGACCUAUAAAAGAUUCAGAAGGUUUAUAAGUCGCUGUGAUGCUUACAGGGCAUUUUCUCAGGAACCUAUUCAUAUGUAAACCGUCGAAAAAUCUGAAAUAAUAUUCUCUCAGUCUAAUAUCUGUGGAGGAAAUAAAAUGUAUGUAAAUAUGGAGCUGUGAAAAAAAGGAUUUUCCUCCGCACAGAUUUCUUCUGCUUUUUGUCACAUGUAAAUGAAACGCAGUUUAAUAUGAGAUAUAAGCUUAGUCAAUAUAAAAUGUGGUUUUAUAAUACACUUUUCAUUUUAAUGAAAGAACCUAUCCAAAUAAACUUGACAAUAUGUAAAAAUAUUAUUGCCCUUCUUGAUAAAUCAUGUAUUAAUUGCGAUAAUACGCAUUUUCAGUUACAUCAAGCACACUAAGGUGGUAUUUCCUCAAAAAAUCACCAAAGAACAAAUACUUCUGACAAUUUGAAGUAGGCUAAAAAACUUAAAUAAAAAAAAAACUAAAGAAAUUUAAGCAACAAUUUUUUUAUCAAUCUGGAAAGGAUUGCAAAGCAAUUUCUAAAGCUUUAGAUCUCCAGGAAACUAUGAGCUACUGGCUAUUAAUGGCAAAAAAAAGUACAAUUUCUACCAAAAUUACUCCAUAAACAAAUAAACCGAUUGACAAGUUCACAAAAUGAUCCAGAAAUGCAUUUAAGCACAGCAUUUGGGAUGCAAAAACCAUGUCAGAAAAAAAAACAAGCAAAAAAAAAACCAUUUUGCCAGUCAAAUGUGGCGGUAUUAAUGUGAUGGUCAGAGACAGCUUCUCAUUGUUGCUGUAAAUCUCCCAGGAGAACAUGAGGCCAUGCAUGUUUCGACCUGAAGCUCACUUGAUUUGUGCAGCAGGACGAUGUCCUGAAGCGCAAUGGGAAGACCAUUCUGAAAGUCUUAGAAAAGACAAACAAAAUGAAGGUUUUGAAUUGGCCUAGUCAAUGUCCGGUCUGAUUGAAAGUAGGAGUGUAAACAACUGACAUUGUCAAACAAAAUGAAGGUUUUGAAUUGGCCUAGUCAAUGUCCGGUCUGAUUGAAAGUAGGAGUGUAAACAACUGACAUUGUGGAUUAAUUAAAAUAGUCCUGCAAAGCUUAAUUCAUCCACAGUGAUGUAAAGUUAAUGCUACCAAAGUUUUUCCAACCUGUUAUUUGGUUUAGGGAGUUUUUUUUUUUUUUCAUAAAUGACCAGGUUGGAUAAAAACGCUUUUUUCUCUUCAUGAAUGAACUCUCUACUUUAAAUUAUUUUUAUUUCUUCAGGUUAUUAUUAAUUUUUUUUCAUUGAUCUGAAAUAUUUUAGUGACAAAAAAAAGCAAACCAUUUCACUGCCCUAUCCAUUUUAUACUAGAAAUACAUUUAAACUUCAACUUAAAGGAGAACAUGUGGCAUAUAAAAAUACUAGAGAUGCUUUAUUUCCUUCCUCUAAAUGGACUCCUUCACCUUGCGACAGGAAGCAUAUUGUAAUUUCUGCCCCUUUCACUUGGUCAACUUCUCUCUGUCACUCAUUCUGAAAGACUGUCCGCUCUGAAACAGCGCUGAGCCUCAGGAUGAGAGGUGCAACAAAAAAAACCUCACCGCAGGUAGUAAUGAAAGAGACGGUGAGGGAGGACAGUUUGAAAAGAAUGCUUCACCUUGGCCAUUUAAUCUUGCUUUGACUUUUGCCGUCUGGCUACAAUAAAGCCCACAGCAAAUGGAUUUCAUCCCAAAAUGCCCUGGGAUUUUCUGUGGAUGUGGCUCAAGAAUCAGGAGUUGUUGAAGGAACAAGGUAGCUCUGGUGUUUUUCAGCUUAAUGAGGCAAAUCACAGAUAAUAUCUUCCCCACAGCAAGCAGCUAAAAUGAUGGUCGCUACAGCCAGAUAAAUGCAGUUGGGAGCUCCAGGGAAUUCAGCUUGACUUAAAUGCCACCCCCCAAAAAAGAUAUUUUUAAUUUAUUGAUGUAAAGGGCCCCAUUUUAAGAACUGUUGUCUUGACUGUUUAAUCCAAUGUGAAGCCAUUGUGACUUCAUGCAACAUACCAAAACAAAGUAUUGCCUAAAUAUGAAGUGGAGGGAAAAUAAUAUGUGGUUGCAAACAUUUUUUACAAUUAAAAAUAAAGUUCAGUUGUGGACUCAUCCGACCAGAACACCUUCCGUCAUUUUUAACGUGUCCCUUCCGGGUGGGUGGAGAAUUAAAAGCUGUGAAUACACACCACAGUUCUGUGUUUUGUUUGGAAAUAAAUGUGUGAAGCAAUUUGUUAUUUUUCACUUUGCAUGUCAUUCUUUAUUUUGUCACUUUUUAAUUCUUAGUUAUCGUUUAUGAAAGACAGUCUAGAAACCUGCCUAUAUUAGUAUGCUAUAAGCACCAUAAUACAGACAAGGGACUGCUGUUUCACUCAGUUUGUCAAUGUAAUUUUGUCUGUCCCCAUCAACUAAACUUAAAUAAAUCUAGAGCUAUCUCUUUAGUUAUGCUGCUUUAGGCUUAGGCUGCUGGAGGAGAAACUGACCUCUUUUCUUCGCGCUGCUACUUUUCCUCUCCAAUUUGCUGUUAUUUCAACUGUUAACUUUGUUUUCUUUCAGUUUUCUCUCUCCACAGAAGCUACAUCUGGUCUGGUGUUCUGUUUAGCUACAAUACUUUCCUGAAUGAGGGAAUCAGCUGAGAUAAUGCUGCAAAUCACUUAACAGCCUCCCUCUCCUACCAUUAAUAAGUUUUUACUUUUCUUUAACACAGAAGAACAAAUGUAGGAGUGUUUUCUUUUUCUUCCGUUUGUAUCUGCUUUGUCUUAAACUCUCAGUGAGUUGUUUACACUGAGCCAGGUUCUGGUUCUGCUGGAGGUUUCUUCAUGUUAAGGGGGAGUUUUUCCUCUCCACUGUCAUGCAUGUACAGUAUGUGGGAUAGCUGUAGUCAACAACUUGUCUACAGUCAAUAAAUCCUUUUCUAGGUGGA
Non-coding RNA from Poecilia reticulata (guppy), 12340 nucleotides. The record is from RefSeq and is a predicted model, not a curated record. NCBI's taxonomy places the organism in Eukaryota, Metazoa, Chordata, Actinopteri, Cyprinodontiformes, Poeciliidae.